UGCAAAUACCGACGUAUAGGAGGUCUUACCUGCCCAGUGACAAGUUAAACGGCCGCGGUAUUUUGACCGUGCGAAGGUAGCGCAAUCACUUGUCUUUUAAAUGAAGACCCGUAUGAAUGGUGAAACGAGGGCUUAACUGUCUCCCUUUUCUAGUCAAUGAAAUUGAUCUGCCCGUGCAGAAGCGGACAUAAAAAUACAAGACGAGAAGACCCUUUGGAGCUUAAGAUACAGGGCCAUCUAUGUCAAGAGCUUAAAACCGCUACAAACUAAGUAGUAACUGACCUUAAUCUUCGGUUGGGGCGACCACGGGAGAAAACAUAGCUCCCACGCGGACUGGGUUUAUACCUAAAACCAAGAGAGACAUCUCCAAGCAACAGAACUUCUGACCACGAAGAUCCGGCUGCCAUGCCGACCAACGGACCAAGUUACCCUAGGGAUAACAGCGCAAUCCCCUUUCAGAGUCCAUAUCGACAAGGGGGUUUACGACCUCGAUGUUGGAUCAGGACAUCCUAAUGGUGUAGCCGCUAUUAAGGGUUCG
Molecule: ribosomal RNA, 538 nt
Filed under: Bagarius yarrelli (goonch)
Lineage: Eukaryota; Metazoa; Chordata; Actinopteri; Siluriformes; Sisoridae
Description: partial 16S ribosomal RNA
Rfam family: Bacterial large subunit ribosomal RNA
Source: RNAcentral